AGGACGAACGCUGGCGGCGUGCUUAACACAUGCAAGUCGAGCGGAAAGGCCCUUCGGGGUACUCGAGCGGCGAACGGGUGAGUAACACGUGAGCAAUCUGCCCUUAGCUUCGGGAUAGCUCCGGGAAACCGGAAUUAAUACCGAAUAUGACUUCGGCCGACAUCGGCCUUGGUGGAAAGUUUUUCGGCUAGGGAUGAACUCGCGGCCUAUCAGCUUGUUGGUGGGGUAAUGGCCUACCAAGGCGACGACGGGUAGCCGGCCUGAGAGGGCGACCGGCCACACUGGGACUGAGACACGGCCCAGACUCCUACGGGAGGCAGCAGUGGGGAAUAUUGCGCAAUGGGCGAAAGCCUGACGCAGCGACGCCGCGUGGGGGAUGAAGGCCUUCGGGUUGUAAACCCUUUCAGUAGGGACGAAGCGAAAGUGACGGUACCUGCAGAAGAAGCGCCGGCUAACUACGCGCCAGCAGCCGC
RNAcentral lists this ribosomal RNA (473 nucleotides) under uncultured bacterium. RNAcentral's name for it is "SSU rRNA". It matches the Rfam family "Bacterial small subunit ribosomal RNA", at positions 26 to 518 of the family's 1533-position model. The record is from RNAcentral.